This 76-nucleotide transfer RNA is filed under the name Virgisporangium ochraceum. RNAcentral's name for it is "tRNA-Met". Lineage: Bacteria; Bacillati; Actinomycetota; Actinomycetes; Micromonosporales; Micromonosporaceae. The record is from RNAcentral.
GGUGCCCGGUGCGAAGGCAUACGGUUACUUCCACUCAUAAUGGGGAGGUUGCGGGUUCGAGUCCCGCCAGCCGCUA